CCCUUAGAUGUUCUGGGCCGCACGCGCGCUACACUGAUGCAUUCAACGAGUCCAACCUUGACCGAGAGGUCCGGGUAAUCUUUGAAACUGCAUCGUGAUGGGGCUAGAUUAUUGCAAUUAUUAAUCUUCAACGAGGAAUGCCUAGUAAGCGUGAUUCAUCAAAUCGCGUUGAUUAUGUCCCUGCCCUUUGUACACACCGCCCGUCGCUCCUACCGAUUGAGUGUGUUGGUGAGGAGUUUGGAUUGGCCUCGGAAGGUGGUUCGCCACCGUCCGUAGCUGAGAAGUUCUCCAAACCGCCCCACUUAGAGGAAGGAGAAGUCGUAACA
This 326-nucleotide ribosomal RNA is filed under the name uncultured eukaryote. RNAcentral describes it as "partial 18S ribosomal RNA". It matches the Rfam family "Eukaryotic small subunit ribosomal RNA", at positions 1470 to 1796 of the family's 1831-position model. The record is from RNAcentral.